AACAACUGCUAACUGUUAUGACUUCUGAAUGGGACACUAUGCAAGCCCCUGAUAUCUUGAUAUCUGGCCAGGAGAUUAGGGAGAAGGGAAAAGCUGAAGGACGGCUAAAAGACAAAGCUUGCAGGGAACGCUGUGCAAGCUUUUGACAUACAGCCAAGGAGUGCAAAGAAGAAGGACAAGAAAAAAAAAAGCCUGAGAGGAAGACUAUGAGCCUUCAUCAUGAAAGACCCCCAGAGGGAGCACCAGAGACUGAUAGGCAUGCUCCAGUAGGAGGGUUCAGAUUCCGGAACUAAUCAUAAUAACUCCGUUGUUUUUUUUAGAAAUAGUAAUGAAUACGUAUUAGUCUAGGAGCAUAAAAAAAUCAGCAUCUUGAUGUAACGGGUGUGCGACUUGGUGGAGCGGAGACUCCCGGCGCACCCAGCGCUGUUUGCUUACCUCUAUUCUUUUAAUAAAUUUUAAACUUAGUGUGAUAAAUUAGUAGGGGUUUGUUCAUUGUCCUUGAGAAUUUAAAGAAUCCACGGAGGAGAUAAGUUUUCACAACUCACAGCAUUGUAACAUGGGGACAAAUGGGGAAGGGGGGUUGGGUAAACAUCCCUGUUAAAACAAAGAUUCUGUAAGAUACCACCCAUCCACCACAAGACAUCUUGUUUUGCCCCCACCUGAACACAAGCACAACGCAUGGUCACUGGAGGAAGAAUAAUGACCCCCGACAACAGACUGCGCAGCCUCAGAACAAGUCUCGACAAGUCAACAAGUCUCGACAAGCCGGAACUUCAAUGCUAUAAAACAGCAACACUGGAAAGGGGAAGUUGUGUGCCGUGGUGGAGCAGAGACUCCCCAGGCGUCCAGCGCUGUUUUGCUUGUGUCUGCUUGCUUAAUUAAUAAAAUAAUUUCAAUAGACCAGUAAAUUGUGUGGUCUAACUUGUAACAAUUUGGUGCUGUGACUCGGAUGAAGGCAAUCUGAUUGAAAGACCUUCGGAGGGGGCGCCCCGCUGAUUUCAGCGGCCUUCGCUAGGACUACUUUCAUUCAAAUCCUUCACCGACGAACCCAAAAUUAGACGCAAGCAAAUAAAACCGGUAAACUCCAGGCAACCUUUGUGCACGAAGCCUGAACGAAGACCCACGGGAUGGGGUAUGCCCUAUGACUUGGAAUUACCACUUGAUCACCCUCAAUUCUAAUUAAGACUUGGAAAGAGACUUUUUUAACACCACGAUGGGGAAGGCCCCUAUGUUGUUUUGCUUACUACAGAAACAGUCGUCUGGACUGUGGAGAAAGGAUGGACACAUGCCAGCCGUGUUAAAGGACCCAUCUGUGAUGAGAAGUGGGAGAUCGCUCCAGGAAACAAAGACCUGAAGCUCACAUUGCGACGAACUCGAUAGGUACCGUGGGUUAAGGUAGAGGCUCUCCCCUGAAGAACACUACUGCUGCCGAGAAGAACUAAAACCUCGUAGUUGGCUGCAACCCAACUGACGAGUGAGGCAGAGGAGUGAAUAAGUGGGGAAAGAAAUGGGCCUCAGCCAUUCCUAUCGGUAUUUGGGGGUUCUCGCAGUGAUUUCAUCCUGCAUAGCGACUCAACACCACCCCCACCAACCUUUUAAAUGGACUUUAAGUCAAUUCGAAGAUCAACAGGUUAUUGCAACCCAGAUAACAUCAGGGGGGGCAAGCUUUACUUCUACACUAUGUCAGCUGAUCUCGAGGCCCCAGUGCUGGGAAUAUAUGGGAUUUUAUUUCUGCCCAAGUUCUAACCCGGGAAAGGGGUACUGUAAAUGCCUGAACGUGUAUUAUUGUGCAUACCGGGGGUGUGAAACCAUUGCUACAGACUGGACACUCGAUGCUGGUCGGGAUAAAUUCUUACAAGUGGGAUAUGGGCUGCAAGGUUGUAACCGACAAUUGGAUCCCUGUUACAGGUGGCGAGGGCAUGGUAUAGGGUAUACAGGAACCUUCCACAGAAAUAAAGAAAUUUGAAAGGUUCUAUAUAUAAAUAUAACAAACUCGGACGAUACUAGCUGGGUACUAGGAAAAAUGUCAGAUUUUACGAACACGGAACAGAUAGGGGAGGACUCAUACUAAUAAAGAAGGAAAAACCCGAGACUUCCAAGGUAGUUGGGACUAAUAAAGAGUUAAUAGGGGAAGGUUUGGUUGUCCAGACUGUAAAGAUACCUGGGACUGCCCAACCUACUACAGUGUUUUCUAAUAAGUCGACAGAGUUAUCCUUUCCCACACUGCUUCCAAGCAUUGUGAAUAAAGAAAGGGGUUGUACCCGAGAGUAGUAUGUGGAAAGUUAUAAAUGCUAGUUUCCAGGUACUAAAUCAAACUAAUUCUGAGAUAACUGAAGGGUGCUGGCUAUGUGUAAGUGUUAAGCCCCCAUAUUAUGAAGCUAUAGGAGAUAUGGGGAGGUCUGAAUAUUCAAACGAGUCAAAUCCUUCCAAGUGCAGUUGGGGUCAGGAAAUCGGGAUAACUUUGACUCAAGUUACGGGAAAAGGUAGAUGUAUCGGCACAGUUCCAAGAGAUAAAAAUGAUAUGUGCCAUGCCACUGAAAAAAAAAAAAAAAA
Molecule: non-coding RNA, 2553 nt
Organism: Anas platyrhynchos (mallard)
Lineage: Eukaryota; Metazoa; Chordata; Aves; Anseriformes; Anatidae
Source: RefSeq, a predicted model, not a curated record